Molecule: ribosomal RNA, 465 nt
Filed under: uncultured bacterium
Lineage: Bacteria
Description: partial 16S ribosomal RNA
Rfam family: Bacterial small subunit ribosomal RNA
Source: RNAcentral
CCUACGAGAGGCAGCAGUGGGGAAUAUUGCGCAAUGGACGAAAGCCUGACGCAGCGACGCCGCGUGAGGGAUGAAGGUCUUCUGAUCGUAAACCUCUGUCAGCAGGGAAGAACGGUCACUGUGCUAAUCAGCAGUGAAUUGACUGUACCUGCACAGGAAGCACCGGCUAACUCCCUGCACGCAGCCGCGGUAAUACGGAGGGUGCGAGCGGUAAUCGGAAUUACUGGGCGUAAAGCGCUCGUAGGCGGUAUGUCAAGUCAAGGGUGAAAUCCCCGCGCUCAACGUGGGAACUGCCUUUGAAACUGGCAAACUGGAGUGUGGGAGAGGAUAGUGGAAUUCCAGGUGUAGGAGUGAAAUCCGUAGAUAUCGGGAGGAACAUCAGUGGCGAAGGCGACUAUCUGGCACAUAACUGACGCUGAGGAGCGAAAGCGUGGGUAGCAAACAGGAUUAGAUACCCUAGUAGUC